This 399-nucleotide ribosomal RNA is filed under the name uncultured Strombidium. RNAcentral's name for it is "partial small subunit ribosomal RNA". It matches the Rfam family "Eukaryotic small subunit ribosomal RNA", at positions 30 to 432 of the family's 1831-position model. The record is from RNAcentral. Lineage: Eukaryota; Ciliophora; Spirotrichea; Strombidiidae.
GCUUGUCUCAAGAUUAAGCCAUGCAUGUCUAAGUAUAAGUAUUAUACAGCGAAACUGCGAAUGGCUCAUUAAAACAGUUAUGGUUUAUUUGAUAAUCGAAUUUUACAUGGAUAACCGUGGUAAUUCUAGAGCUAAUACAUGCUGGUGUGCCUGACUUUUCGGAAGGGCGGUAUUUAUUAGAUACAGAAUCAAUACGUGUUCUGCACGUUCUAUUGAUGAAUCAUAAUAACUGUUCGAAUCGCACGGGCAACCGGCGAUAGUUCAUUCAAAUUUCUGCCCUAUCAGCUUUCGACGGUAGUGUAGUGGACUACCGUGGCGUUAACGGGUAACGGAGAAUUAGGGUUCGAUUCCGGAGAGGGAGCCUGAGAAACGGCUACCACAUCCAAGGAAGGCAGCAGG